GUGGUGGUGGUGGUGGUAGCAGUGGUAGUGGUAGCGGUAGUGGUGGUAGUAGCAGUAGUAGUAGUAGUAGUAGUAGCAGUAGUAGUAGUAGUAGUAGUAGUAGUAGUAGUAGUAGUAGUAGUAGUAGCAGUAGCAGCAGCAGCAGUAGCAGCAGGAGCAGUAGCAGUGCAACCAUUUUUUUAAAAGAAAGUUACUACAAUGUAAUGUCUAAGCGUUACUCAUGUGAAUGCUCUCAUUAAAACACAACAAUACUUACUGAAACAUCUCCUAUUCUAAACUCCCUUUACCCAGUAGGUAUUAACUAGGGAAUGACCAGUAGGUAUUAACUAGGGAAUGACCAGUAGGUAUUAACUAGGGAACCUUUACCCAGUAGGUAUUAACUAGGGAAUGACCAGUAGGUUUUAACUAGGGAAUGACCAGUAGGUAUUAACUAAGGAAUGACCAGUAGGUAUUAACUAGGGAAUGACCAGUAGGUAUUAACUAGGGAAUGACUAGUAUGUAUGACAGGAAUAUGUUUCUACAGACACUGCCUUCUUUGUCAGCUGAGACUAAGAACAGCUAAGACUGCAGUAACAUGUUGAAUAGCUAAGGCUGCAGUAACAUGUUGAACAGCUAAGACUGCAGUAACAUGUUGAUCAACUA
This 642-nucleotide long non-coding RNA is filed under the name Salmo salar (Atlantic salmon). RNAcentral's name for it is "lncRNA (ENSSSAG00000098912.1)". The record is from RNAcentral. Lineage: Eukaryota; Metazoa; Chordata; Actinopteri; Salmoniformes; Salmonidae.